CCCCGGUGCAGUUCCUCAUUCCGUUCGCAUUUGGGCCUCAGACUGUGUCGAGCUCGGCACCGGGGUGUUGGUGGCAGCGCUGAAGGGCCCCCCACUGCCCUGUCAUAGUGUCUGCUCUCACCAUCCUCCUCGGCUGCUGGCUGGCCGGGCGGAGCGGGGUGUUGGGAGGCUGCUGGCUGGCCGGGCAGAGCGGGGUUUUGGGAUGUGAGUAUCUGUGGGGCAG
Molecule: long non-coding RNA, 223 nt
Organism: Trachemys scripta elegans
Lineage: Eukaryota; Metazoa; Chordata; Testudines; Emydidae
Exons: 3
Source: RefSeq, a predicted model, not a curated record